GUGCACUUCUGAUGGAUGAGUGGGUGGAUGGAUGGAGAGAUGUAUGAACGGACAGACCUAAAUGACAAGAGGCCUAAUUCUCAUGUAACACCUGCUUUUGUUUUCUUUUCUUUGAAUUGGAGGGCAUAAGUAACCAGUUCAGAUUCUGGAAAUGUCUGCCUGAGUGUCUCACACUACUACUCUAUGCCAACUCCUGUGUCUUGGAGAAGAAGAGAAAGAGCUCUUUCACCAUGUGAUCCACUGAGCAGUGACAGCCCAGAGAGCCCUCCCCAGAACUAAGCCAAUGCUAACCCCAUGCCUUUGAACCUCCAGAACUUUGAGCUACAUAAACUUUGGCAUUUGUUUUAAAAGUAUCAUGGAUGCAUGUAUAAAGGUAGAGAACCAGUAGAAGGUACGACUGCGCCAACGCUGGCGAAGUUCCGCGGACUCCUCUUUCCUGUUCUCCAGUCUCUCCAGCUAAAUUGAUGAGAUCAGGCAUCACCCGAAAAUGGCGCCGAAAGCCCCUGUUCUCUAUCUUUAGUUUGUACAUCUGCUGAAGAUCAAGUUGGCCUCUCUGGUUAAUUUUUUCUCAAAUGUCCUUGUGG
RNAcentral lists this long non-coding RNA (584 nucleotides) under Heterocephalus glaber (naked mole-rat). Its description in RNAcentral is "lncRNA (ENSHGLG00100050458.1)". Lineage: Eukaryota; Metazoa; Chordata; Mammalia; Rodentia; Bathyergidae. The record is from RNAcentral.